Molecule: unclassified non-coding RNA, 201 nt
Filed under: plant metagenome
Description: partial contains small subunit ribosomal RNA, internal transcribed spacer 1, and 5.8S ribosomal RNA
Source: RNAcentral
UCUCCGUUGGUGAACCGGCGGAGGGAUCAUUAUCGAGUUUAUAACUCCCAAACCCUAUGUGAACUUACCACUUGUUGCUUCUGCUCGCGCUUCGGCUCCGCCGAGGACACUUAAACUCUUUGUUUUUAUAAGCAUUUCUGAGUGUCCGAAAGCCAAAAUACAACUGAAUCAAAACUUUCAACAACGGAUCUCUUGGUUCUG